This 754-nucleotide ribosomal RNA is filed under the name uncultured archaeon. RNAcentral describes it as "bacterial SSU rRNA". It matches the Rfam family "Archaeal small subunit ribosomal RNA", at positions 102 to 859 of the family's 1478-position model. The record is from RNAcentral.
AGUCAACAUGCCCAGGGGACGUGGAUAACCUCGGGAAACUGAGGAUAAACCGCGAUAGGCCAUGAUUUCUGGAAUGGUUCAUGGCCGAAAUCUAUAUGGCCCCUGGAUUGGACUGCGGCCGAUCAGGCUGUUGGUGAGGUAAUGGCCCACCAAACCUGUAACCGGUACGGGCUCUGAGAGGAGGAGCCCGGAGAUGGGCACUGAGACAAGGGCCCAGGCCCUAUGGGGCGCAGCAGGCGCGAAAUCUCUGCAAUAGGCGAAAGCUUGACAGGGUUACUCUGAGUGGUUCCCGUUAAGGGGAUCUUUUGGCACCUUUAAAAAUGGUGCAGAAUAAGGGGUGGGCAAGUCUGGUGUCAGCCGCCGCGGUAAUACCAGCACCCCGAGUGGUCGGGACGAUUAUUGGGCCUAAAGCAUCCGUAGCCGGUACUGCAAGUCUUCCGUUAAAUCCACCUGCUUAACAGUUGGGCUGCGGGGGAUACUACAGCGCUAGGAGGCGGGAGAGGCAAGCGGUACUCAAUGGGUAGGGGUAAAAUCCGCUGAUCCAUUGAAGACCACCAGUGGCGAAGGCGGCUUGCCAGAACGCGCUCGACGGUGAGGGAUGAAAGCUGGGGGAGCAAACCGGAUUAGAUACCCGGGUAGUCCCAGCUGUAAACGAUGCAGACUCGGUGAUGGGCUGGCCUUGUGCCAGCCCAGUGCCGCAGGGAAGCCGUUAAGUCUGCCGCCUGGGGAGUACGGUCGCAAGACUGAAACUUAA